UACGUAGGGGCCUAGCGUUGUCCGGAUUUAUUGGGCGUAAAGAGCUCGUAGGCGGUUUGGUGAGUCGGGUGUGGAAUCUCCACGCUCAACGUGGAGGAGCCACCCGAUACUGCCAUGACUAGAGUCCGGUAGGGGAGUGUGGAAUUCCCGGUGUAGCGGUGAAAUGCGCAGAUAUCAGGAGGAACACCUGUGGUGUAGACAGCUUACUGGACCAUUUCUGACGCUGAGACACGAAAGCGUGGGUAGCAAACAGG
RNAcentral lists this ribosomal RNA (254 nucleotides) under uncultured bacterium. RNAcentral's name for it is "partial 16S ribosomal RNA". It matches the Rfam family "Bacterial small subunit ribosomal RNA", at positions 524 to 776 of the family's 1533-position model. The record is from RNAcentral.